UUGCACCACUGCAGUCCAGCUCGGGAGACAGAGACCCUGUCAAGAAAAAAAAAAAUUGUUUUCUUUUGCUCUCUCUUAUAUUUCUCUAAAUCUCUCUCCACUUCCCUGAGUCAGAGGUUCCCUAGACUGGCAACUGGAUCAGCCCCAGAGAAAGCCAGGAUUGCUCACUGCUGGGGAAGGGGCUCCACAGAAACUGCGAUAUUGUGGUGCCACUCCCCUUGCUGCCAUCUCCCUGAAGAGAGACAGCGGUUCCUGCCUAGUCUUUAUUGUAAUACGGAUAACAAUAGAAGCAGGUGAAGAGUCUGAGGCUCAGAGACUGGGGAGCUGAAACAUGCCGAGCAGGAGGAAGUAGGGGACAGCUCCUUCAUUCUGAACUCAAGCUCGAUGCCACUCCCAGAGGGCUCUGGAAAGAAUCUUGUUGGAGACGAGGUCAUCCCCAUGUGCUGUUUUCCAGUUGCUGGCAGUUGGCUCAACACCCCUUCCUGCCAGAGGCCUUCUGCUAACGUGCCAGCUGCUUCUGACACCUGGAGGUGCCUGGCCGCCCCUGCUUUGAAGUGGAGCCAACAGGGAGCUGCUGCCAGUGACAGUCUGCACAGAUCUAUUGGAUCAUGGAGGGACCCUUGUGGGCCAUGCCUCGGGGCUAGAGAGAGGGACUCUGGGGGAGAAGUAGAGACACUUUGGUUCAGGCUGUCCGGAGCAGAACCAUGUGUGGGGUAGAGCCUAGGACAGGCAACUGGAGUGGAGAAAGAGCACAUGGCUGGUCUGCGACUGGCCACUUUCUCCCUCCCCUGCUGACUUCCAGCAGCUGGGAUAGGCAGUCUGGCUGGGAGUUGUAAGGGUGCCAAGUAAGCAACAGCUUCCAGCCUGAACCUACUGACUUGCCAACUUCCUAUUCACCCCUAAUUAGGGUCAGUUUCCCUGGUCUAGUGGCAUGGGCUGCACCCAUUUUCCUGAAGUUCUGGAUUAGUUGACCCCAGGAUUAAGUCCCAGUUCCACCAUUCACUGGCCAAGUGACUGUUUCCCUCUGAGCCUCAGUUUCCUCAUCUGUGAAGAGGAUACAAUCAUAGUUCCUGUUUCCCAGGAUUCUUGUAGAGAGUCAGCGUGAUGAUGUUAUAUAUGCUAGUGUCUAACAGGCACUCAGAAUGAGCUCCAGAUGUAAUCAGUAAGUAUAUUCUAUCUGGUUUAAACUGUGGGAGAGCCCCAAAGAGCAAAUAAAAAUAGAGCCCAGAGAAAGUGUGUGCUGCCAUCAUCCACCAGGCAGAGGUCUCAGGCGGAAGCCAGCGAUCAGUUUCCGGUUUACUUUUGGGGGAAACCAGCCCUCAGCCAGGGCCAGAAAGAAAAGCCACUUUCCGGCCAGGCGCGUUGGCUCACGUCUGUAAUCCCAGCACUUUGGGAGGCCGAGGCGGGCGGAUCACAAGGUCAGGAG
Long non-coding RNA from Cercocebus atys (sooty mangabey), 1426 nucleotides. RefSeq lists it as uncharacterized. NCBI's taxonomy places the organism in Eukaryota, Metazoa, Chordata, Mammalia, Primates, Cercopithecidae. The transcript is spliced from 3 exons. The record is from RefSeq and is a predicted model, not a curated record.